Molecule: transfer RNA, 92 nt
Filed under: Clostridiales bacterium
Lineage: Bacteria; Bacillati; Bacillota; Clostridia; Eubacteriales
Also listed under: 1 other name
Description: tRNA-Ser
Rfam family: tRNA
About the family: Transfer RNA (tRNA) molecules are approximately 80 nucleotides in length. Their secondary structure includes four short double-helical elements and three loops (D, anti-codon, and T loops).
Source: RNAcentral
GGAGAAGUCGCCUAGUUGGUCGAGGGCGCACGACUGGAAAUCGUGUGACCGCCAAAAACGGUCCGAGAGUUCGAAUCUCUCCUUCUCCGCCA